This 484-nucleotide ribosomal RNA is filed under the name uncultured bacterium. RNAcentral's name for it is "partial 16S ribosomal RNA". It matches the Rfam family "Bacterial small subunit ribosomal RNA", at positions 30 to 507 of the family's 1533-position model. The record is from RNAcentral.
AUUGAACGCUGGCGGAAUGCUUUACACAUGCAAGUCGAGCGGCAGCACGGGGGCAACCCUGGUGGCGAGCGGCGAACGGGUGAGUAAUACAUCGGAACAUGCCCAGUCGUGGGGGAUAACACUUCGAAAGAAGUGCUAAUACCGCAUACGUCCUGAGGGAGAAAGCGGGGGAUCGCAAGACCUCGCGCGAUUGGAGUGGCCGAUGUCAGAUUAGCUAGUUGGUGGGGUAAAGGCCUACCAAGGCAACGAUCUGUAGCUGGUCUGAGAGGAUGAUCAGCCACACUGGGACUGAGACACGGCCCAGACUCCUACGGGAGGCAGCAGUGGGGAAUUUUGGACAAUGGGGGCAACCCUGAUCCAGCCAUUCCGCGUGUGUGAAGAAGGCCUUCGGGUUGUAAAGCUCUUUCGGCAGGAACGAAACGGUGAGCUCUAACAUAGCUCGCUAAUGACGGUACCUGAAGAAGAAGCACCGGCUAACUACGUG